RNAcentral lists this ribosomal RNA (375 nucleotides) under uncultured Glomeromycotina. RNAcentral's name for it is "LSU rRNA". The record is from RNAcentral. Lineage: Eukaryota; Fungi; Glomeromycota.
UUGAAAGGGAAACGAUUGAAGUCAGUCGUCCCGCCGAGAAAUCAGCUUUCCGAGUGCUUGCUUGUGGCCGUCCCCGAGCUGUCAAAGCCCUCGCCGUUUGCGUGUUGGUGCUUUUUUGGUGUACUUUUUCGUAUGGUAGGCCACCGUCAGUUUCGAUCACCAUAAAAUGAUCGGAGGAAUGUAGCUUCGAUCUCGUAUUGAAGUGUUAUACCCUUUGGUAGAUGUGGUGAUCGAACCUGAGGAUUGCAACGAAUACCCUUUGGCCUAUCCGUCUGACCUCUGGAAGUUGCUUGGGUGCCGAAAGCUUGCUUAUGGUAUUUAAGACGACGCUCAAAAGGUUAGAACGUGAUCCCCUUCGUUAAGGAUGUUGACGUA